AGUGGCGGACGGGUGAGUAACGCGUGAGAAUCUGCCUUGGGGUCGGGGACAACCACUGGAAACGGUGGCUAAUACCGGAUAAGCCGAUUGGUGAAAGAUUUAUUGCCCGAAGAGGAGCUCGCGUCUGAUUAGCUAGUUGGUGAGGUAAGAGCUCACCAAGGCAGCGAUCAGUAGCUGGUCUGAGAGGACGAUCAGCCACACUGGGACUGAGACACGGCCCAGACUCCUACGGGAGGCAGCAGUGGGGAAUUUUCCGCAAUGGGCGAAAGCCUGACGGAGCAAGACCGCGUGAGGGAGGAAGGCUCUUGGGUUGUAAACCUCUUUUCUCAGGGAAGAAGCUCUGACGGUACCUGAGGAAUCAGCCUCGGCUAACUCCGUGCCAGCAGCCGCGGUAAUACGGAGGAGGCAAGCGUUAUCUGGAAUUAUUGGGCGUAAAGCGUCCGCAGGUGGCGAUUCAAGUCUGCUGUCAAAGCACGGGGCUUAACUCCGUAAAGGCAGUGGAAACUGAAUAGCUAGAGUGCCGUAGGGGUAGAGGGAAUUCCCGGUGUAGCGGUGAAAUGCGUAGAGAUCGGGAAGAACAUCGGUGGCGAAAGCGCUCUACUGGACGGCAACUGACACUCAGGGACGAAAGCUAGGGGAGCGAAUGGGAUUAGAUACCCC
Molecule: ribosomal RNA, 660 nt
Filed under: uncultured bacterium
Lineage: Bacteria
Description: bacterial SSU rRNA
Rfam family: Bacterial small subunit ribosomal RNA
Source: RNAcentral